CAGAUAUCAGGAGGGAACACCGGUGGCGAAGGCGGGUCUCUGGGCAGUAACUGACGCUGAGGAGCGAAAGCGUGGGAGCGAACAGGAUUAGAUACCCUGGUAGUCCACGCCGUAAACGGUGGGUACUAGGUGUGGGUUUCCUUCCUUGGGAUCCGUGCCGUAGCUAACGCAUUAAGUACCCCGCCUGGGGAGUACGGCCGCAAGGCUAAAACUCAAAGAAAUUGACGGGGGCCCGCACAAGCGGCGGAGCAUGUGGAUUAAUUCGAUGCAACGCGAAGAACCUUACCUGGGUUUGACAUGCACAGGACGUGCCUAGAGAUAGGUAUUCCCUUGUGGCCUGUGUGCAGGUGGUGCAUGGCUGUCGUCAGCUCGUGUCGUGAGAUGUUGGGUUAAGUCCCGCAACGAGCGCAACCCUUAUCUUAUGUUGCCAGCGCGUAAUGGCGGGGACUCGUGAGAGACUGCCGGGGUCAACUCGGAGGAAGGUGGGGAUGACGUCAAGUCAUCAUGCCCCUUAUGUCCAG
RNAcentral lists this ribosomal RNA (521 nucleotides) under uncultured bacterium. Its description in RNAcentral is "bacterial SSU rRNA". It matches the Rfam family "Bacterial small subunit ribosomal RNA", at positions 691 to 1211 of the family's 1533-position model. The record is from RNAcentral.